CGAUGGCAAAUAUUCAAUAUGAAGCAUACAUUCCGAAGACAAACAUUCAACAUGAUGGAGCAUCGUGAAUUUUCACAGGCUUGACUUGCUCUCUCUAGUAAGAUUUCCCCCCUUUUAUCUAGUUAGAUGCACUCUUACCGCCUGGUGAAGAACUUGGUCACAAUUUUUAUAGCUAGGAAUAACAAGAUGCGACAUUUUAAAAUUCUAUAAUAAGAUUAAUGUUCUAGGUUGUUAGAAUAUGAGUAGGAAUAGGAAUAGCAUAUAAAAUCUUGUAGUGUCCUAUUAGGAAAAGGAUUGGAAUGUAUUGUUUAUAAAUAGGGCCUCAAUGUAAUAAUGUAGUUACAACAAUUCAAUAAUAUUUUUAUCGUAUAUUUCUCACAUGGUAUCAGAGCUUCCACGAUCUUGGUAAAGAAUCAAAGAGUUUCCACUGCCGGCGGGCGGCUAUAAUCCAUAUAUGUCGCCCGUUAGCACCAUGCAUCUGUCCGAUGAUUACUUUUUCAUAUCUAUUUUUUCUUAGCACCGUGCUUCUUUUCGGUGACUAUUUUCUCAUAUCUGAUUUGUGUAGCACCGUGCAUCUUUCCAGACUACUUUGUCAUAUCUGAGUUGCAUAGCACCAUGCAUCUUUCUGGUGACUCCUCAGAUCUAAUUUAUGUAGUUCUGUACGUCUUUCCGGUGACUCCUCAGAUCUAAUUUCUGUGGGUUCGUGCCAUCAUUCCGACCCUACCCAUAUAAUUUGUCUUUUUCAGUAGGGUCGUGCCAUCAUUCUGACCCUGCCCAGAUAAUUUCUUUUUCAGUAGGAUCGUGCCGUCAUUUCGACCAUGCCCAUAUAAUUUCUGUUUCUCAAUAGGGUCGUGCCAUCAUUCCGACCCUACCCAUAUUUCUCUUUCUCAGUAGGGUCGUGUCAUCAUUCCGACCUUACCCAUAUACUUUUUUUUCCUCAAAUUGUAGUCACUUUUCAUCAAUCAAAUCUAAUAAUCCGGCAUGUGAGCAUGUUUCGACUAAGUUUCCGGUGACUUUCAUGUUCAAGAUCUACUCAUCUCUUGAUUUCGAGAUGACCCGUAUAUUUUGUACCAGUUUUCGACAAUUUUUCAGAGACACAUCGACUUUACGGCAAUAUUUACUACUUUUCGGAUCAUUUUUUUUAGUUUGUUUCGUUUCAAUUGAGGUCUCCCAGACGUCCAAAGCAGUCCUUCUCAGUUUUCUUGCAGAUAUCUUCACCAAGUCCCUCAUCGAUUCUCAUAUUAGUUACAUCCAUAACAAGCUUGGUACAUAUGUCUUCUAUGCACCAACUUGAGGUGGAGCGUUAGAAUAUGAGUAGGAAUAGGAAUAGCAUAUAAAAUCCUACUUGAAAAAGAAUUGUAAUGUAGUGUCCUAUUAGGAAAAGGAUUAGAAUGUAUUGUCUAUAAAUACGGCCUCAAUGUAAUAAUGUAGUUACAACAAUUCAAUAAUAUUUUUCUCUUAUAUUUCUCACAUGAUAUCAAAGUCAGGUUAAAAUCAGGUGUUCAUCUUGGCAGAUUCAGUUCUAGUCGCAACCUAUUUGACAAUAAUGAAGAUUUUAGUUUGAGAAAUUUUAUCAGAGUGUUACUCUGUGCAGAGGCAAGAAUUAAUGGAGAAAAUUUUGGAGAUGGAGAUUGAACUUAUUGAAGACUACAUGAAGAAGGUGGAGUAAGUUUAUUUUAUCAGAAAUUCAGGCCAAGGGAAAGAAUUGUUGGUGUUUGUCCCGACUUUCUUACCAUAAUUGGGUUUUCCUUUAGGUACCAUAAUUGGGUUUUCCUUUUGAGAAAAGGAAAACAUAUUCUCCAUAUUUGGCUAAUCCUUAUUCUUGUAGGAAAAGGCUAUAAACUCUAUAAAUAGAGACUCCUUUCUUCUAGUUUUGUAGCAUCCACAAUGUAGUCCUAGGAGUUUGAGAGUUUCGUUUGGGGGGAGACUUUGUGAGACACAAGUAUUGCGGGAUCACUUGUGUGAGCCUUUUUUAUUCUGAGUGAAUUGUGUGAGGUUGUCUCUCUUGAUAGUUUGUACUCACUUUUAUAUAUUUGGAUUGCUCAUCUCCUUUUGUGGAUGUAGGUCGAUUGACCGAACUACGUUAAAUUAUUGUGUCUCUUUUGGUGAAUUUCUCGUUUAUCUUCUUAUGUGGCGUCUUUCGAGGUUUGUUUUGCUAUCUUCCACAUGAAAUCUAAUUUUUUCGGUCCUAACAAGUGGUAUCAGAGUCGAUGGUUCAAUGGUUCAAACCUACGUUUCAAAGAUCCAGUGGUUUGGUGAAACGAGGUUGAAGACAAGGUCAAAGGGGUUCUAAUCAAUUUGAUGAUAAUGAAGAUUUUUUGUCCAACUACAUAUGGAGAAGAAGUUUUAAG
RNAcentral lists this long non-coding RNA (2351 nucleotides) under Capsicum annuum. RNAcentral's name for it is "long non-coding RNA (CANN_LNC018817)". Lineage: Eukaryota; Viridiplantae; Streptophyta; Magnoliopsida; Solanales; Solanaceae. The record is from RNAcentral.